GAGACUCUGUGCGCGUGCAUAUCAAUAAGCGGAGGAAAAGAAACUAACAAGGAUUCCCCUAGUAACGGCGAGUGAAGCGGGAAGAGCUCAAAUUUGAAAUCUUAAAGGGUUUCCCUUUACGAAUUGUAGUUUAAAGAAGUGUUUUCUGUUGGAGUUUCGGUAAAAGUUCUUUGGAAUAGGACAUCAUAGAGGGUGAGAAUCCCGUAUUUGACCGUUACUUUCCAGCUGUGUGAUACACUUUCAAAGAGUCGGAUUGUUUGGGAAUGCAGUCCAAGAUGGGUGGUAAAUUUCAUCUAAAGCUAAAUAUUGGCGAGAGACCGAUAGCGAACAAGUACCGUGAGGGAAAGAUGAAAAGAACUUUGAAAAGAGAGUUAAACAGUACGUGAAAUUGUCAAAAGGGAAGCGUUUGACACCAGUGUUGUUUUUCCGAAAAUCAAUUACGAAUGUUUUGUUUUGAGGAGUUAUGACUUCAUCGGCUUGCUCCUUUCUUUAUGAAACUUUCUUAAUGCACUUUUCGGUUAACAAGUCAACAUCAAUUUCUUUUGUUGUAAAAGGGUAUGAGGAAGGUGGCUUCCUUUUCGGAGAAAGUGUUUAUAGCCUUGUGCCUCUACAAUCGGAGAGAUUGAGGUCUGCAGCGUAGAUCCUUCGGGGUUAGAUACAUUUGUGCUAAGUUAUAGCUUUUCAUAGACAACUUGUUGACUAUGUUUAGUCUUGUAGCUUACUCGCUUAUGCUAUUUUACCUACGCUUAGGAUGUUGACAGCAGUAUAGACUGU
RNAcentral lists this ribosomal RNA (774 nucleotides) under uncultured Neocallimastigales. Its description in RNAcentral is "partial large subunit ribosomal RNA". It matches the Rfam family "Eukaryotic large subunit ribosomal RNA", at positions 23 to 640 of the family's 3401-position model. Lineage: Eukaryota; Fungi; Neocallimastigomycota; Neocallimastigomycetes; Neocallimastigales. The record is from RNAcentral.